Molecule: ribosomal RNA, 253 nt
Filed under: uncultured bacterium
Lineage: Bacteria
Description: partial 16S ribosomal RNA
Rfam family: Bacterial small subunit ribosomal RNA
Source: RNAcentral
UACGUAGGGACCAAGCGUUGUCCGGAAUCAUUGGGCGUAAAGCGCGUGUAGGCGGUCCGGUAAGUCCGCUGUGAAAGUCGGGGGCUUAACCCUCGGAUGCCGGUGGAUACUGUCGGGCUUGAGUACGGAAGAGGCGAGUGGAACUCCUGGUGUAGCGGUGGAAUGCGCAGAUAUCAGGAAGAACACCGACGGCGAAGGCAGCUCGCUGGGACGGUACUGACGCUGAGGCGCGAAAGCGUGGGGAGCAAACAGG